RNAcentral lists this unclassified non-coding RNA (283 nucleotides) under uncultured fungus. RNAcentral's name for it is "partial contains small subunit ribosomal RNA, internal transcribed spacer 1, and 5.8S ribosomal RNA". The stretch from base 1 to 73 matches the Rfam family "Eukaryotic small subunit ribosomal RNA", at positions 1759 to 1831 of the family's 1831-position model. The record is from RNAcentral. Lineage: Eukaryota; Fungi.
GCAAACUUGGUCAUUUAGAGGAAGUAAAAGUCGUAACAAGGUUUCCGUAGGUGAACCUGCGGAAGGAUCAUUACAGAGUUCAUGCCCUCACGGGUAGAUCUCCCACCCUUGAAUACUAUACCUUUGUUGCUUUGGCGGGCCGCCUUAGGCUACUGGCUCCGGCUGGUAAGUGCCCGCCAAAGGACCCCUAAACUCCUGAAUAUUAGUGUCGUCUGAGUCUUAUAUAAUAGUUAAAACUUUCAACAACGGAUCUCUUGGUUCUGGCAUCGAUGAAGAACGCAGC